AGAGUUUGAUCCUGGCUCAGAACGAACGCUGGCGGCGUGCCUAACACAUGCAAGUCGAGCGCGAAAGUCCCUUCGGGGGCGAGUAGAGCGGCGGACGGGUGAGUAAUACAUAGGUAAUCUACCUUCGAGCUUGGGAUAACCCCGCGAAAGUGGGGCUAAUACCGGAUAAGACCACGCAACCAUGUUGCGGGGUAAAAGGUGGCUUAUUUUUUAAAUGAGCUAUCACUUGAGGAUGAGCCUAUGGCCUAUCAGCUUGUUGGCGGGGUAAAAGCCCACCAAGGCUAUGACGGGUAGCUGGUCUGAGAGGACGAUCAGCCACACUGGGACUGAGACACGGCCCAGACUCCUACGGGAGGCAGCAGUGGGGAAUAUUGGGCAAUGGGCGAAAGCCUGACCCAGCGACGCCGCGUGGGCGAUGAAGGCCUUCGGGUUGUAAAGCCCUGUCAUGCGGAAAGAACGACCCUGUGACGCAUACUCACAGGGAGUGACGGUACCGCAGGAGGAAGCACCGGCUAACUCCGUGCCAGCAGCCGCGGUAAUACGGAGGGUGCAAGCGUUGUUCGGAAUUAUUGGGCGUAAAGGGCGCGUAGGCGGUAAUGUAAGUCAGAUGUGAAAUACUCCGGCUCAACCAGAGAACAGCAUCUGAAACUGCAUAACUAGAGUACAGAAGAGGGAAACGGAAUUCCCGGUGUAGAGGUGAAAUUCGUAGAUAUCGGGAGGAACACCAGUGGCGAAGGCGGUUUCCUGGUCUGAUACUGACGCUGAGGCGCGAAAGCGUGGGGAGCAAACAGGAUUAGAUACCCUGGUAGUCCACGCUGUAAA
Molecule: ribosomal RNA, 822 nt
Filed under: uncultured bacterium
Lineage: Bacteria
Description: bacterial SSU rRNA
Rfam family: Bacterial small subunit ribosomal RNA
Source: RNAcentral